UACGGAGGAUGCAAGCGUUAUCCGGAAUGAUUGGGCGUAAAGCGUCUGUAGGUGGUUUCUGAAGUCUGCUGUCAAAUAUCAAGGCUUAACCUUGAGUCGGCAGUAGAAACUCAGAAGCUUGAGUACGGUAGGGGCAGAGGGAAUUCCCGGUGUAGCGGUGAAAUGCGUAGAGAUCGGGAAGAACACCAACGGCGAAAGCACUCUGCUGGGCCGAAACUGACACUAAGAGACGAAAGCUAGGGGAGCAAAUGGG
This 253-nucleotide ribosomal RNA is filed under the name uncultured bacterium. RNAcentral describes it as "partial 16S ribosomal RNA". It matches the Rfam family "Bacterial small subunit ribosomal RNA", at positions 524 to 776 of the family's 1533-position model. RNAcentral also lists the same sequence under 1 other name. The record is from RNAcentral.